UACAAAAGGGAGAGUUGAAGACUUUAUAUUUACUGUUAGUGACUUUAAAAAAAAUCCAAUUCCUUUAGAUGACACUGUUGGCAGACUUUAUGAAAAAACAAAAUUGAAGCUGCUAAGGUUUUACAUUUGCACAAAAGAAGAAACAUCUUUAACAGUUCUUUCCUCAUCUGAAGUGGAUGAAUGUGGGGAAGAUUUCUUAUCUGAGGAGGAUUCUGUCAGUAUCACCAAGGAAGAGUUACAGUUGCCUAAACAUGGACCUCACACAGAGUCGGAUGAUUUUAUCACAGAUCUCGUUGACCGUGGGGAUUCAUCUGACAGUGAUAAUAGCGAACAGAAUCACGAUUUCCAGAUCCAACCAAGACCAAAAAAAAAGAGAUCAGCGUGUGAGACAGUGACAACACAUAGUCCAGGACAGUCACAUUACAUGCAUUCAACACCAACAGAAAUUAAAACAACUGUCACGGGACAGUGGCAGGGCACUGACUCAAGUGAUCAUGGUAAUGAGAAUGCUUGGAAUCAACUUCAGCUUUGCAGCGAUUUAUAUGACCACAGCUCAGGAGUUAUUGAUCUGACCAGUGCAGUCCCUAAAGAAUCCCCCCAGCUAGAGUCAGCUCACACCCAUCAUGAGGCCUCUGAAUUUGAUCCAGGUAUAGAUGAGGCUGAUACAGUUGUAUGGAAUCCCGAAGAGGACCUUGUCAGAGCCGAUGCUGAUGAGGCAGUCGUGAUAAUGCUGAAUUGUGUCAACAGUGACGAUCUAAUACAGGACAAUGGACUGAAUUUCACAGCACAAGAUUUGCCCUUGGUUUCUAGCAGCCAACUUUCCCCAUCAAAUUCAGCUGGCAACCCAGGAAAUCCAGAGAGCCCCCGACGUAUAUCUGUUCGCAGGGUAAAUGUUGUUGAAGAUCUUUUGGCUAUAUUUAUGGACAGCAGCAUAAUUACUGUGACUUUAAAGAUGGACUUUGUAAAUGAAAAAGCUGUUGAUGAUGCUGGGGUGUCAAGGGAGGUUUACACUGCCUUUUGGGAGCAAUUUUUGGAACAGUGUGAAGGUGAAACAGAACGAGUUCCAAGGCUGAGGCCAGACUUUGGUGAGGCAGAGUGGAAAGCAGUUGGACACA
Archocentrus centrarchus (flier cichlid) is the source of this 1115-nucleotide long non-coding RNA. RefSeq lists it as uncharacterized. The transcript is spliced from 3 exons. NCBI's taxonomy places the organism in Eukaryota, Metazoa, Chordata, Actinopteri, Cichliformes, Cichlidae. The record is from RefSeq and is a predicted model, not a curated record.